AUCCAGUUGACGAGUCCAAAACAAGACGAAAUUCACAUCCUGGAA
This 45-nucleotide non-coding RNA is filed under the name Trichobilharzia regenti. The record is from RNAcentral. Lineage: Eukaryota; Metazoa; Platyhelminthes; Trematoda; Strigeidida; Schistosomatidae.